GGGUUAAUUGCCUCUAAAUCCUUAAACUAUAGUCACUUUCCGUUUUUUCCCUCAAUCUUUGAACUUCCCAUAAAAAUUCACCAACUAUUGAUUUUUCCCAAUUUUCCCGUGACGGAUUUUUCGGCCAAAUCCGUACACACGUGGAAUCGGAAUUAUCUGACGUGGACGCGCCGGAUACUUAAUAAAACGACGUCGUUUUGCGCAUUCAUAAACGACGUUGUUUUGCGCGUUCUUGUCCAAAUAAACGGCGGUGGCGGUGAGUUUGGCUUUUUGGCCGAUGUUGUUUGGUAGAAAGAGAGACGGCGGCGCCAGUGGGUUCUUCUCAGCCGGUCGAUGGAGGAGGAAGGCAGCGUUACUGCUGCCGCCGCGGCGAGGCGAUCCUCCGGCUAGGCGGCGUUACUGUUGUCGCCCUCGAGAAAGAUGUGGAGGUUGUCCGCCGUGAGAAAAGAAAGAAAUCAAGAGAACGACGCUGUUGUUUGGGAAAGAGCGGCGCCGUUGUUUGGGAUCCGGACUGCGGCGACCGACGUCGAGGAUGAGGGAGCUAGGGUUUCUGAUUUUGGGGGUUUUGGUAAUCGAGGGUCAAUUAAAGAGAGAGGCUACG
Molecule: long non-coding RNA, 601 nt
Filed under: Salvia miltiorrhiza (redroot sage)
Lineage: Eukaryota; Viridiplantae; Streptophyta; Magnoliopsida; Lamiales; Lamiaceae
Description: long non-coding RNA (SMIL_LNC003214)
Source: RNAcentral